GACGAACGCUGGCGGCGUGCCUAAUACAUGCAAGUAGAACGCUGAAGAGAGGAGCUUGCUCUUCUUGGAUGAGUUGCUAACGGGUGAGUAACGCGUAGGUAACCUGCCUUGUAGCGGGGGAUAACUAUUGGAAACGAUAGCUAAUACCGCAUAACAAUGGAUGACACAUGUCAUUUAUUUGAAAGGGGCUAUUGCUCCACUACAAGAUGGACCUGCGUUGUAUUAGCUAGUAGGUGAGGUAAUGGCUCACCUAGGCGACGAUACAUAGUCGACCUGAGAGGGUGAUCGGCCACACUGGGACUGAGACACGGCCCAAACUCCUACGGGAAGCGGCAGUAGGGAAUCUUCGGCAAUUGGGGCAACCCUGACCGAGCAAGGCCGCGUGAGUGAAGAAGGUUUUCGGAUCGGAAAGCUCUGUUGUAAGUCAAGAAAGGGUGUGAGAGUGGAAAGUUCACACUGUGACGGUAGCUUACCAGAAAGGGACGGCUAACUACGUG
RNAcentral lists this ribosomal RNA (497 nucleotides) under uncultured bacterium. Its description in RNAcentral is "partial 16S ribosomal RNA". It matches the Rfam family "Bacterial small subunit ribosomal RNA", at positions 28 to 507 of the family's 1533-position model. The record is from RNAcentral.